AAAAAAGAAAGAAGAUAUCUCACGAGUAGUGAACCCAAGUAACUAACUAAACACCCGACUGUACUCUGAAUUCAUUUUCGGCCCUUCAAAAAGCCCAAUUGCGAAGUUACCGAAAAUGAAACCCCUUCUCUAUAAUUUUCUUCUUCCUUGAAGCUUACUUUCAGUUUCAGCCCUUUUUGGUUGCUACGAUGGCUUCAAAAUGCAACAGAAUUAUCAACAGAACGUCAGUGUCGUCUCUCAGAUCCACCAUUAAAUCUAAUCUUCAAACUGCUUCAGCUUCCUCUCCUUCGCCGUCUUUAAGGAGAUCCACUACCUCACCUGUCCGCCGCUUCUUCUUGUCCAGAGUUCCGAUGGAGCUUGGAGGUGCACAAUCUCUGUUGCCUCUUCACAGUGCGGUUGCUACUGCAAGGAUGACGUCGGGCCUGAGCUCAAGGAGUUGCAGAGCUAUUUCACAGGAUGAUAUUGAUGGGAAGUGAGACAUUUUGCUGUUUCUGGAGGUGGGCCUCAUCAAGUAUGCUCCUAAAUGUCUUGGAAGGAUUUUCACACUACUCAAAUCACGGAGCUCGGUUUGUCAGUUCCAAGGUGACUUUGCAGAUCAUCACAAAGAGAAAAAAGUUAUCAUCUUCAGGUUAUUGUAAAAGGAAGGUUUUGCUAUUCAUUUCUGCAAAAUUAUGUCAUUUUAUUAAAAGCUGCUCAAACAUUACAUAGCAGUAAAACUAUUUUUGAUUCUUCAAGUGUAAUAAAUGUGUUUUGUGAGCAACAAAUAUAAGGAAAGGGCCUUGUUUA
This is an RNA transcript of Cornus florida, 786 nucleotides long. It is a transcript of the gene named protein NONRESPONDING TO OXYLIPINS 2, mitochondrial-like, with no coding region annotated. Lineage: Eukaryota; Viridiplantae; Streptophyta; Magnoliopsida; Cornales; Cornaceae. The transcript has 4 exons. The record is from RefSeq and is a predicted model, not a curated record.